RNAcentral lists this ribosomal RNA (226 nucleotides) under uncultured Aquimonas sp. Its description in RNAcentral is "partial 16S ribosomal RNA". It matches the Rfam family "Bacterial small subunit ribosomal RNA", at positions 568 to 792 of the family's 1533-position model. Lineage: Bacteria; Pseudomonadati; Pseudomonadota; Gammaproteobacteria; Lysobacterales; Lysobacteraceae. The record is from RNAcentral.
UGCGUAGACGGCCUGAUAAGUCGACUGUGAAAGUCCUGGGCUCAACCUGGGGACUGCAUUUGAUACUGUGAGGCUUUGAGUUUGGGAGAGGGUGGUGGAAUUCCCGGUGUAGCGGUGAAAUGCGUAGAGAUCGGGAGGAACAUCCGUGGCGAAGGCGGCCACCUGGCCUGAAACUGACGUUGAGGCACGAAAGCGUGGGGAGCAAACAGGAUUAGAUACCCUUGUA